UGGGGAAUAUUGCACAAUGGGCGCAAGCCUGAUGCAGCCAUGCCGCGUGUGUGAAGAAGGCCUUCGGGUUGUAAAGCACUUUCAGCGAGGAGGAAGGUGGUGAGCUUAAUACGUUCAUCAAUUGACGUUACUCGCAGAAGAAGCACCGGCUAACUCCGUGCCAGCAGCCGCGGUAAUACGGAGGGUGCAAGCGUUAAUCGGAAUACUGGGCGUAAAGCGCACGCAGGCGGUUUGUUAAGUCAGAUGUGAAAUCCCCGGGCUCAACCUGGGAACUGCAUUUGAAACUGGCAAGCUAGAGUCUCGUAGAGGGGGGUAGAAUUCCAGGUGUAGCGGUGAAAUGCGUAGAGAUCUGGAGGAAUACCGGUGGCGAAGGCGGCCCCCUGGACGAAGACUGACGCUCAGGUGCGAAAAGGCGUGGGGAGCAAAACAGGAUUAGAUACCCUGGUAGUCCACGCUGUAAAACGAUGUCGAUUUUGGAGGUUGUGCCCUUGAGGCGUGGCUUCCGGAGCUAACGCGUUAAAUCGACCGCCUGGGG
This 535-nucleotide ribosomal RNA is filed under the name uncultured bacterium. RNAcentral's name for it is "partial 16S ribosomal RNA". It matches the Rfam family "Bacterial small subunit ribosomal RNA", at positions 355 to 878 of the family's 1533-position model. The record is from RNAcentral.